This 20330-nucleotide long non-coding RNA is filed under the name Zea mays. RNAcentral describes it as "long non-coding RNA (ZMAY_LNC005353)". The record is from RNAcentral. Lineage: Eukaryota; Viridiplantae; Streptophyta; Magnoliopsida; Poales; Poaceae.
UUCCCUUUGACUUUAAAUCUCCUCAUACCCUGGAUAAGUGACACCUUCAAAUAUACGUAAUCACCGUCUUUAAACUCUAGCAGUCUUCUCCGGGUAUCCGUAUAGCUUUUCUGACUGCGCAGUCCUCAAGUUCUCCCUUAUAUGCCGAACUUGUGUAAAGCCAAAAAUUGGUAAAAAAUAUAAAAAAUAAAAUAAAGACAUAAGAAUAACUAUAAUAAUGUUUCUAGAAUUUUUGAAACCUUUAGAAUUCAUUAGAACCCUUUCCUCUUCAUAAUCAAUUGAGAGUACUAAAUUAUUUAAAUGACCAAUAAAUAAAUAGUGAACAGAUGCAUUCCUCGCUUAUAAUUUGGGGAGGCAUUUUUAACAUAACUUAAAAUUUGACCUCAAGAUUUUAAAUGAAAAGCAUAAAGAAUAAUAGAAAAUGAGAAAGAAAGUUUUAUGGAAGUCAUUUAUUCCAUCCAUAAAUACAUAAUAGGAAAAAGAAUAAAUAAUAAUAUUGUAUACAACAAAGUUUAUAUUCACACUAGGAUUUAUUUAGACAUUUGGAAAUUUGGGAGUUCAAAAAAUGAGUUGAAUGUGAAUUGAAUUUAAAGUUAGAAAUCAGAAAAAAAAAUCAUGAAAAGAAAAUAUAAAAGAAUAACCUGGCGCUUGGGCCGAAUCUCCUUCAUAGCGGCCCACUCACCUCCUCACCUUGGGCCAAAUUUGCCUAGCCAUGGCCCAGAUCAGAACACCCGCACAGCCCAACUCACCGUUGUGCACCCUAGACAUGCGUGUUCGGUCAAUGUCACACGGGCCUCACCCGUCAUCCAGAUUACGCGUGCGCUGGGCGAUUCUCUCUGCCUGGUGACCCGGUCCAUCAUUUCGCGCCCUGCCUCAUGCUUCGCUUACCUGUGGGACCCACACCGUCAGCCUUAUCCCCUUCUUCACGUCCGGGUUGUUGCAACAGACUCACCGCGGACGUCGGGCUGUUGGGAUCGGGUCAACCCCCCUCCUCAUGGGGCAGGACUCCAUUGGUGGGUGCUUAAAACUCGAGCCUCGCCGCCCUUGGUGGAUAUGCAGGUCGGAGUCUGCUGCCUCCGUGCCGUGCGCGCGUUCAGAGCGGGAGUAGAGAGAGAAAGAGACGACCCCGCUGUUACCGUUCUUCGCUUUCAGCUAUUUAUGACUUUCGCUAUGUAAUAAUUACAUUUAUGAUAUUUAUGACAUUUAUCCUUAUACACUUUGUCAUUAUAUGUGAUAUUCUUCCUUGGCGCUCAUAUGAGACGCAUCCGGCUUUAUUCUUUAAAUCCAGGUGUGACAUCUAAAGCGAGAAAAACUUGGUCCCUAAAGAAAUGGGAAACGACUCAGCACGACCAAGUAGAAAACUGCUAGUACUCAAGAAGAGGCAAAAGCGGGGCUCAACACCACUAGCCAACAAUCAAAAACACAUUGGAGCAAAAAAUCAGCACAAAAGCUGAAAGCAAAGCUAGUUCCUCUAGAAAGAGGCAAGUUUGCUAUAGCUUUAUAUGGUUUCGGGUUAAUAUUUCAUUAUAUCCAUGUUCCAAUUAUUCUGUUAUUUUAUUUAUGUUCAUGUCAAGAUCAUUAUCUUUAAUUGGAACAUGGAGCUUAACUUGAGAAACACGUGCCACCAUAAGGGUGGAAUGGGACGUCCUUGGCUGACUAAUGAGGAAAGCUAGUGGAAGACUACCUUACCCGAAAGGGGCAAUGGCACUAGGGGAGUAGGCAUGCAGGGAGGUUCUCGGGUUGAUUUUACUGCGAUGGCGGUCAGACGAGGGAUUCCUGCAAUUACUCUUCCUAGAACUGUAGCGGGUUUUCGGAAGCUAGUGGAACUUUGUAAAGGCCUCGUAGUGUUACCCUGCCUCGCUUCCUUGGUAGAGGUGUAUGGGACUCAUGACCCCUUGGCAGAUGGGUAACAUGACUUGUGGGUACAGGGUACAACCUCUGCAGAGUGUAAAACUGGUAUACUAGCCGAGCUCACGGUCAUGAGCAGCUCAGGACUCUCGUAUGAUUAAAUUAUGAAACUAAAUUUAAUUUAUCAUUUUCAUUGCAUGGGAUUAUUUAUUAAUUUUGUUCUAUUAUUAUUAUGGUUUGGUAUUUACUUACAUUUAGUAACUGCUAAUAAAAUUUGACCAACUUAUUAAAAGCAAUGCUCAACUUUAACCCCUAUUGUUGAUCAGCCUUACACAUCACGUGAACUCCCACCUUUGGUAAGUUCAUGCACAUUAUUCCCCACAACUUGUUGAGCGAUGAACAUGUGUGAGCUCACCCUUGCUGUCUCACACCCCCCAUAGGAGAAGUACAGGUGGUUCAAGAGGAGCCACACAACGAGGAGUUUGUCUUGAUCUAGGUGGCGUCUCCCAGUUGACUUUAUGGUGCCAGGGAUGGACUUUAGUUCGUUUUAUAUUUACCUUUUAUUUUGUAAGACUUCCGCUAUAAUAAGUACUCUGAUUAUAUUGUGACAUUUAUCUCUAUACACUCUAUUAUUAUAUGUGUUGUCUUCUUUGCCGCAUACAUGAGAUGCACUCGGCUUUGUCCCUUAAAUCCGGGUCUGACAGAAGUGGUAUCAGAGGAAUGUUGACUGUAGGACGAAACCUAGAUAGAACUGGACAACCAUUGUCUACUUACCUUUGCUACUCUGAUUCUUUCUAAAAUUUUCUUAAUCUUUUCUCAUCUAUUUCUGCUUUACUCUGAUUACUCUUACCUUUUCCUUUUAAAGACAAAUGUGGAUUUCACAAUUUGAAAUCAUGUGCCUAAAGUGACCUUUAGGAAUAGGAGACCUACUCUUAGAAACAAAAACAAAACUAUUUUUAUAGGUAUCUAUAUGCUUGAAUGUUUAUUCUUGUGAUACAUGUCUGAUUUGGAUUUUUUAUUGAGUGUGAUGAGUUGUGGAGUAAUGUCCACAAUUACAUCUACAUAUACGUAUAGGCAUAAAUAUAAAUAAGAAAAAAAUCAUAAGAUGACUAUACAAACUAAGAAUAUCCCCCAUUAAAAUAUAUCUAGUUUAAUAGAUCCAUCUUAUCUUACAAGAUUCUCUCUUAUCUUAAUAGAUCCAUCUUAUCUUGAAAGAUUUGUCUUAUACUAACCACUUUACUUAACUCAUCUUAAAGUAACAACCAGGAUCUAAUCCAAAAUAAUGAGAUCAUAUCUAAGUUAUAUUCGCAUGACUAAAACCACUUGACUUAUCCCACCAUGAUCAUGAUCUAACCCAAAUUAAUUGGAUCUUAUCUAGUCGAAGCUAGUCAUAUCUAGAUCUGAUCUAAUGUGACAGAUUAAUCCAACCUAACGAAGGCUAACCUUAAGCCGAGCUAAUGUAAGUUGCUUAACAGGAAAGUUAAUACUGAUAAAAUGGAUGAGACUACUCCUAUAAAAUAUGUUUUAACUUAAUUCACUCUGCACUAAGUUAAGAAUGACCGGCCAACUCGGCCACAUGCAACUACCUUAACCAUUCGAUGGUUGCAUAACCCCUCUAUUUUAACCUAACAACAAGAUAGAGAUUCUCACCUACCUACACCAUAUAAUCAAUCCUAUCUUAAAAGAUUCUAACAUAUCCUAAUAAUAUUUAUCCUACCCUGGUAGAUCUAUCUAACUUAAACUAGUCUAAUCUAGUUAUAUCCAAUCUAAUCUAAUAUGAUCCAAUCUAAAGGAAGUUACUUAAGCAAGUUAGUUAAUACUGGUAACAUAGAUUAGAACAUAUUCCGAUAAAUGGGUUUCCAACCUAAAUUGGUGUCUUAAACCAACUCGUCUGUGGAACCACGACCUAGUCUAUUUUAUAGGUUGCCCAACCCAUUUAUCCCAAAAGAAAUGCAUAAUUCUGUUUAACCUACCUACCCCAUGUACCCGCAAUUGUUAUCCCAACUCAGAUAAUGGCAUAUAACACCACGACCGAUGGUCCCUAAAUCAUACCCAAGAAGAAGGAUAACCUCGACAAUGAAGGAUAUGAGUAGAAACAGAUCUUCAGAUGAAUCAAGAUCCACCACCAGAAUAAAAGUCUCCCUUACCUAACUUUCUUUGACCCAAAUCUUCCCUACACUUGUCUAAUAACUAGAACCUAAUAUACUGUACCCUUGCUUUCUAUGCCACACCUGCUAAUGGCAUGAAAAUUUUAGGUAUACAAAAAAUGCUAAUUAGAAGUACCACUUAGGUAAAAAAAGAUACUAGAAUUUCAUAAAGAUAAAGUCAGCUUGACAUGCUCAACUAAACGGUAUUCUUAAAUAGGAUUAUAGAAUCUAAUGUGAUCUAAUCUAGUGUGAUCUAAUCCAAUGUGAUCUUAUCUGAUGUGGCCUACUUAAAUAGACUAGUGAUACUGGUAGAAGAGAUUAGACCCUACUAGCCAAGUGUUAACUUAACUUAGCACAUUAGACCAACUCAACCAUGAGCAUAAGAGCUAACCCAACUAAUAGAGUCAUGAUGAAUUGUAUAGUCUAUCUAUCCCCACCUAACAUCAAACAAGAAUUUGACCUACAUCAUGUAGUCUAUCUCACCCAUGUCUAUCUCAUCUUGACGGAUUCUAUCGUACCUUUGGAUAUUCACCUUAUACGACUAGUUAUCCCAAGCUUGAUAUAAAACAACAGAUUAAGCCCUGCCAAAGAAUCUUUAGUUCAUAACCAGCUACUAGCCUAUUCAUUCUGCCUACCAAAUAAUUUCCCUUGCAAAACUAUCUUACCAUAUGCUUCUAACUCUGAUGGUCAAUACCAGGAAGGGAGGACUAUCAGGCAACAUCAAACAGAAAUGAAUCCUAUAAAUCCUCCACCGGCUGGAACCGAUGUAGUGGUUGUCGCCCAAAUGCUGGUACUACAACAAAUGACAAACGUGGUUAACGAAAUGCAAAAUCAGAUAAGGCAAGAACACUAGGAAAUGCGUCAGAACCGGUUGGAGAUGCGACAAGCAAUGAGAUAAGCACGGUUGGAAAGACAACAACAACAACACCCACUACCUCCAUCACCACCACCAGCGCCUAUAUAUAUAUUACUAUUUGUAAGACAUAAAUGUUACUUUAGUUAGUAGUUAGUAUUUUACUAUUUUAGGAAUAAUAAUAAGGUAUAUUUGACCAUAUGUGUUCCUAAUAAAUUAUGAAUCAUGCUGAGAUUUUGUUUGUGCAUAUGUUUUGAGAUAGCAUGGUUAUACACCCUUUUCUUACAAAUCUCAAGGACGAUAUUUCUGUUAAGGGGGUAGGAUUUGUAAAGCCCAAAAUUGGUAAAAAAAAUAAAAUAAAGACAUAAGAGUAUAUAUAAUAAUGUUUCUAGAAUUUUUGAAACCUUUGGAAUUCAUUAGAACCCUUUCCUCUUCAUAAUCAAUUGAGAGUACUAAUUUAGUUAAAUGACCAAUAAAUAAAUAGUGAACAGAUGCAUUCCUCGCUUAUAAUUUGGGGGAGGCAUUUUUAACAUACUUAAAAUUUGACCUCAAGAUUUUAAAUGAAAAGCAUAAAGAAUAAUAGAAAAUGAGAAAGAAAGUUUUAUGGAAGUCAUUUAUUCCUUCCAUAAAUACAUAAUAGGAAAAAGAAUAAAUAAUAAUAUUGUAUACAACAGAGUUUAUAUUCACACUAGGAUUUAUUUGGACAUUUGGAAAUUUGGGAGUUCAAAACAUGAGUUGAAUGUGUAUUGAAUUUAAAGUUAGGAAUCAGAAAAAAAACAUGAAAAGAAAAUAGAAAAGAAUAAGCUGGCGCUUGGGCCGAAUCUCCUUCAUAGCGGCCCACUCACCUACUCACCUUGGGCCAAAUUUGCCUAGCCGCGGCCCAGGUCGGAACACCCGCGCAGCCCAACUCACUGUUGCGCACCCUAGACACACGUGUUUGGUCAAUGUGACGCGGGCCCCACCUGUCAUCCAGAUUACACGUGUUGGGCGAUUCCCUCUGCCUGGUGUCCUGGUCCAUCAUUUCGCGCCCUCCCUCACGCUUCGCUUACAUGUGGGACCCACACCGUCAGCCUUAUCCCCUUCUUCACGUCCGGGUUGUUGCAACAGACUCGCCGCGGAUGUCGGGCUGUUGGGAUCGGGUCAACCCCCCUCCUCACGGGACCGGACUCCGUCGGUGGGUGCUUAACACUUGAGCCUCGCCACCCUUCGUGGAUAUGCAAGUCGAAGUGUGCUGCCUUUGUGCUGUGAGCGCGUUCAGAGCGGGAGGACAGAGAGAAAGAGACGUCGCCGCCGCCAUUCUUCGCAUUCAAGAGUCGAUUGGCGUACGUGGUGCAUCCGAGGUUUUCGGGUGAUGGCAUGGAUCAUGCGCGUGGGAUGGUGGAUCGUAUGGCUUCCUGGGUUGGCGUGAAUUGCUCGUCAGAGCGUUUCUUCGCCAUUGAUCCGCCGCUGCGUCGUGGACUGCAUCACCUGUGCGACAAUCAAUGGUGAGGACCCUUCCACCCAACUCGUCUUCAUCUUCUCCACGUGUAGCACUCUUCGAACCAGAGCUUGGCGUGAUGUGUCAGGAUAUGAGGUGGUACAGCCAUGGCGCCACCGUGCAGCUGCUCGCCGUCGGUCGUCUGGACGGCUGGUGGCUGAUAGCACCUAGAGGGGGGGUGAAUAGGUGAUCCUGUAAAAUUCAACACUAAAUUCCAACAACCUUGAUUAUAAAGAUAUUAGUGUGGGUUAAUCAAGUCAAUGAGAUGAGCUCUUGCGAACAUAGACAAUCAAAGAGAGAGCAAUCACAAGAGACACACGAUUUUAUCCCGUGGUUCAGCCAAGUAACACUUGCCUACUUCCACAUUGUGGUGUCCCAAUGGACGAGGGUUGCACUCAACCCCUUUCAAGUGAUCCAAUGAUCAACUUGAAUACCACGACUUUUCUUCCUUAUAUCCUUUUCCCGUUUGCGAGGAAUCUCCACAAGUUGGAGCCUCUCGCCCUUACAAGAUUGAUCACAAAGAACGCACAAGAGUAAGGUUGGGAAGAGCAACGCACACAAGACACAAAUCGUAGCACACCCACGCACACAAGAGAGGACUUGAGCUCAAAUGACAACACAGGGAGUCCUCGACUCGAAUAGAGCUCAAAUCACUAACACAAUGAAACGAAUGCACGGGAACAAAGUCUGGAUGCCUUAGGAUGCUUAGUGAAUGCUUGUGUAGCUCCUCCAUGCGCCUAGGGGUCCCUUUUAUAGCCCCAAGGCAGCUAGGAGCCGUUGAAGAUCAACAAGGAAGGAUUUCCUUGCCAUCUGUCGAGUGGCGCACCGGACAGUCCGGUGCGCCACGGGACAGUCACUGUAGACGGUCCGGUGCCGAUCUCCUUCCUUUUCUAGCGCAGACAACCAUUGCAGCUCCGGGCCGGUUGGCGCACCGGACACUGUCCGGUGCACACCGGACAGUCCGGUGCCCCCUGCCGAUCGUUGGCGCGGGCCACGCGUCGCCCGCGGAUUGCGCGGCCGACCGUUGCGCUGGCGACCGUUGGCUCACCGGACAGUCUGGUGCACCACCGGACAGUCCGGUGAAUUAUAGCCGUAUGCCGCCAAACUUUUCCCGAGAGCGGCCUGUUUACCGGAAACCAGCCUGGCGCACUGGACACUGUCCGGUGCACCACCAGACAGUCCGGUGUGCCAGACUGAGCUGAGCUUUGGCUGCACACAGCCCGUCCUUUGCAAUCCUUUUUUUCUUCUUUUCUCUAUUUCUAACACUUAGAUAACUUCAUUAGUAUUCAAAAACAAAUGUACUAAGUCUAGAAACAUACCUCAUGUCUUGAUUUGCACUUUUUCAAUCUUUGGCACAUUUAGAACUUAGAGAAUAUGUGUUGGGCACUUAAUCACCAAAACAUUAUAGAAAUGGCCCAAAGGCACAUUUCCCUUUCAAUCUCCCCCUUUUUGGUGAUUUAUGCCAACACAACCAAAAGCAACCAAAAGAUAUGCAAUAUCAAUGCAAUUGAGGACCAAAUUGUUUUUGACAAGAUUUGACAUAUUUGGAUCGCUCUUUGCCACCACUUGGUUUGUUUUUGCAAAUCAAAUUCAUUUUCCUAUCUCUAAGUCAAACUCACUAGUUUGGGCAUAAAGAGAGAUAAUCCAAGAGUGAAAUUGAUCAAAUGCCAAAAACUCCCCCUUUUUCCCAUAGUCAUAAAUUCUCCCCCACAAGAGACUAAAUUUUGCAAUAAGAGCAUUUUGGACAAAUCAAAAGUUCUAACUCUAUUGUUUUCAAAAUUCACAAGUGGUAGCUGAUCCAUUUGCUUUGGCCUUAAUUUCUCCCCCUUUAGCAUUAAGCACCAAAACGGGAUCAUUAUUGGCCCUUUAACCCCAUUGCCUCACCAAAAAUGUCAAUUAAGAGCAAAAAGGCAAUAAGAGCAUAAGAAUGAACUUGGACAUGAGUACACUAAUACCGGAGUGCAGUGGAAGUCUUUGCAUGGUCCAAGUUCACCUUUCCCUUUCAAUUCACCUUUGAGACUACAUCAAGUAUACUCAAACACAAGGGUUAGUCUCAAAGGGUCAAGUUGUAGCACUUCUCCCCCUAAAUAUGUGUAUCAUUCACACAUGGACUUGUGAGGUCCGAGGAUCCCUUGCACAACUUGAACACCAUAAAUAAGCAACAAAUAACAUAAAUGCAUAAGUAACAUGAUCAAAGGCAUAGAACACAUGUAUGCUAUAAAUCAUUCCAAGUUACAUGAAUCUAAGACAUUUAGCUCACUACGCAGCCUGCAAAAGGUUUUCUCAUCUAAUGGCUUGGUAAAGAUAUCGGCUAGCGGUUCUCAGUGUUAAUAUGCUACACCUCGAUAUCUCCCUUUUGCUGGUGGUCUCUCAGAAAGUGAUGUUGGAUGUCUAUGUGCUUAGUGCGGCUGUGUUCAACAGGAUUAUCCGCCAUGCGGAUUGCACUCUCAUUGUCCCAUAGGAGUGCGACUUUGCUCAGAUUGUAGCCAAAGUCCGGAGGGUUUGCCUCAUCCAAAGUAGUUGCGCGCAACACUGUCCUGUGGCAGCAUACUCGGCCUUAGCGGUGGAUAGGGCAACGGAGGUUUAUUUCUUUGAACUCCAAGACACCAGGGACCUUCCUAGGAAUUAGCACGUCCCUGAUGUACUCUUCCUAUCAACCUUGCAUCCAGCAUAAUCGGAGUCUGAGUAUCCAAUCAAUUCAAAGGUAGACCCCUUUGGAUACCAGAUCCCGAAGCAAGGCGUAGCAACUAAAUAUCUAAGAAUUCGCUUAACGGCCACAAGGUGACAUUCCCUGGGGUCGGAUUGAUAUCUAGCACACAUGCAUACACUUAGCAUAAUGUCCGGUCUACUAGCACAUAAAUGAAGCAAGGAACCUAUCAUAGACCGGUAUGCCUUUUGAUCACUGGACUUACCUCCUUUGUUGAGGUCGACAUGCACGUCGGUUCCCAUUGGUGUUUUCGCGGGCUUGGCGUCAUUCAUCCCAAACCUCUUGAGUAGGUCUUGAGUGUACUUCGUUUGGGAGAGGAAGGUGCCGUCCUUGAGUUGCUUCACUUGGAACCCAAGGAAGUAGGUCAACUUGCCCAUCAUCGACAUCUUAAACUUUUGAGUCAUCACCCUGCUAAACUCCUCACAAGACUUUUGGUUAGUAGAACUAAAUAUUAUGUCAUCGACAUAAAUUUGGCACACAAAAAGAUCACCAUCGCAGGUCUUAGUGAAAAGAGUGGGAUCGGCUUUCCCAACCUUGAAAGCAUUAGCAAUUAAGAAAUCUCUAAGGCAUUCAUACCAUGCUCUUGGGGCUUGCUUAAGUCCAUAGAGCGCCUUAGAGAGCUUGAACACAUGGUCAGGGUACCUGUCAUCCUCAAAGCCAGGGGGUUGUUCCACAUACACCUCCUCCUUGAUUGGCCCGUUGAGGAAAGCGCUCUUCACAUCCAUUUGAAACAACCUGAAAGAGUGGUGAGCGGCAUAGGCUAAUAAUAUUCGAAUAGACUCUAGCCUAGCCACAGGAGCAAAAGUCUCCUCGAAAUCCAAACCCGCGACUUGGGCAUAACCUUUUGCCACAAGUCGAGCCUUGUUUCUUGUCACCACUCCGUGCUCAUCUUGCUUGUUGCAGAACACCCACUUGGUUCCCACAACAUUUUGCUUUGGACGUGGCACUAGGCUCCAAACUUCGUUCCUUUUGAAGUUGUUGAGCUCUUCCUACAUGGCCAACACCCAGUCCGGAUCCUGCAAGGCCUCUUCUACCCUGAAAGGCUCAAUAGAAGAGACAAACGAGUAAUGCUCACAAAAAUUAGCUAAACGUGAGCGAGUUGUUACUCCCUUGCUUAUGUCACCCAGAAUCUGAUCAACGGUGUGAUUUCUUUGAAUCGUCGCUCGAACUUGAGUUGGAGGGGCUAAUGGUGCUUCUUCCUCCAUAACUUGUUCUUCUCGUGCUCCCACUUGAUCACGCGCCUGUUCUUGAGGAACCUAUCCAUCAUCUUGAGUUGGGGGAUGCACCAUCGUUGAGGAAGAAGGUUGAUCUUGCUCUUGUUGUUCUUGUGGUCGCACAUCUCCAAUCGCCAUGGUGCGUAUUGCGGUCCUUGGAACAUCAUCUUCAUCUAUGUCAUCAAGAUCAACUUUCUCUCUUGGAGAGCCAUUAGUCUCAUCAAAUACAACGUCGCUAGAGACAUCAACCAAACCCGAUGAUUUGUUGAAGACCCUAUACGCCUUUGUACUUGAGUCAUAUCCUAGUAAAAACCCUUCUACAGCUUUGGGAGCAAAUUUAGAAUGACUACCUUUCUUCACCAAAAUGUAGCAUUUGCUCCCAAAUACACGAAAGUAAGAAACAUUGGGUUUGUUACCGGUUAGGAGUUCGUAGGAGGUCUUCUUGAGAAGGCGAUGCAGAUAUAGAUGGUUUAUGGCGUGGCAGGCAGUGUUCACAGCUUCCGACCAAAACUGCUCGGGUGUCUUGAACUCUCCAAGCAUCGUCCUCGCCAUGUCGAUAAGCGUCCUGUUCUUCCUCUCUACCACACCGUUUUGUUGUGGUGUGUAGGGAGUGGAAACUCGUGCUUGACGCCUUCCUCCUCAAGAUACUCCUCCACUUGCAGAUUCUUGAACUCGGACCCGUUGUCGCUUCUUAUCUUUUUCACCUUGAGCUCAAAUUCGUUUUGAGCCCUCCUUAGAAAGCGCUUUAGGGUCCCUUAGGUUUCUGAUUUAUCCUGCAAAAAGAACACCCAAGUGAAGCGGAAAAAAUCAUCAACAAUUACUAGACCAUACUUACUUCCCCCAAUGCUAAGGUAGGCGACGGGUCCAAAGAGGUCCAUGUGAAGAAGCUCCAGUGGUCUUGAUGUUGUCAUCACGUUCUUGCUGUGAUGAGUGCUUCCCACCUGUUUCCCUGCCUGACAAGCUGCACAUGGUCUAUCUUUUUCGAAACAUACAUUGGUUAGUCCUAACACAUGUUCUCCCUUUAGAAGUUUAUGAAGGUUCUUCAUCCCAACAUGUGCUAGACGGCGAUGCCACAGCCAGCCCAUGCUAGUCUUAGCUAUUAAGCAUGCAUCUAGAUCGGCCUCCUCUUUCAAAAAAUCAACUAAGUAGAGUUUGUCAUCUAAUACACCCUUAAAUGCUAAUGAAUCAUCACUCCUUCUAAAGACAGAAACAUCAACUUUUGUAAACAAAUAAUUGUAGCCCAUGUGGCACAAUUGACUUACAGAUAGGAGGUUGUAACCAAGCGACUCUACUAGAAAUAUGUUUGAUAUGGAGUGCUCGUUGGUGAUGGCUAUCUUGCCCAAGCCUUUGACCUUGCCUUGGUUCCCAUCUCCAAAGAUGAUCGUAUCCUAGGAAUCCUUGUUCUUGAUGUAGGAGGUGAACAUCUUCUUCUCCACUGUUAUGUGGUUUGUGCAUCCGCUGUCGAUAAUCCAGCUUGAUCCCCUGGAUGCAUAAACCUGCAAGACAAUUUAUGCUUGGGUUUUAGGUACCCAACUCUUGUUGGGUCCUACAAGGUUAGUUACAAUAGCCUUUGGAACCCAAAUACAAGUCUUGUCUCCCUUGCAUUUGGAUCCCAACUUUCUAGCAACUACUUUUUCAUUCUUACAUACAAGUGAAAAUGAAGUAUUGCAAGCAUGGUAAAUAGUGGAAGGUUCAUUGCACAUUCUCCUAGGCACAUGAGACACAACAUUACUUUUUCUAGGCUUACUUCUACCAUGCACAAAAGUAGAGCUAGAAGCAAACAUAGCAUGUGAAUUAAACGCAUCAUAACUCCUAUUAUAAUGAGCAUUCCUAGAAAAUUUUCUAUCAUAAAUGUAAGCAUGACAUUUUUGAGAACUACUAGCCAUAGGAGCCUUCCCUUUCUCCUUGUUGAGAACGGGAGUCUUUUGGCUUGUUAAGUUCUUGGUUUCCUUUCGAAAACCAAGUCCAUCCUUAAUAGAGGGGUGUCUACCAAUUGCGUAGGCAUCCCUAGCAAAUUUUACUUUAUCAAAAUCAUUUUUGCAAGUCUUAAGUUGAGCAUUAAGACUUGCCACUUCAUCAUUCAAUUUUGUAAUAGCAGUAAGAUGUUCAUUACAUGCGUCAACAUCAAAGUCCUUACAUCUAUUACAAAUACUAACAUGCUCUACACAUGAACUAGAUUUAUUAGCUUCCACUAGCUUAGCAUUUAAAUCAUCAUUCAAAAUCUUUAAACUAGAGAUGGAUUCAUGCAAGCAGAUAAUUCAGAGGAUAACAUUUCAUUUCUCUUAGUUUCUAGAGCAAGAGAUUUUUGAACACUAACAAAUUUAUCAUGCUCUUCAUACAAAAUAUCCUCUUGCUUUUCUAAAAGUCUAUCCUUUUCAUUUAGAGCAUCAAUUAAUUCAUUAAUCUUUUCUACUUUAGCUCUAUCUAAUCCUUUAAAUAGACUAGAGUAAUCUACUUCAUCAUCGGAGGAAUCCUCAUUACUAGAAGUAGAGUACUUAGGGGUAUCUCGAACACUUACCUUCUUUUCCUUGGCCAUGAGGCAAGUGUGGCAUUCGUUGGGGAAGAGUGAAAAUUUGUUGAAGGUUGAGGCUGCCAGUCCUUCAUCGUCGGAGUCGGAUGAAGAGCAGUCUGAAUCCCAUUCUUUGCCAAGGUGCGCCUCGCCCUUCGCCUUCUUGUAAACCUUCUUCUUCUCCCUCUUCACAUGCUUCUCUUGUUCCUGGUCGUUAUCAUUAUCGGGGCAUUGUGCUAUGAAAUGACCAGUCUUACCGCAUUUGAAACAGGAGCGAUUUCCCCUUGCUUUGUUCUUGUUGGGGUAUUCCUUGCGUCCUUUCAGUGCGGUCUUGAAGCGCUUGAUGAUUAGGGCCAUCUCAUCUUUGUUUAGCCCAGUAGCCUCAACUUGUGCCACCUUGCUUGGUAGCGCCUCCCUGCUGCUUGUUGCUUUGAGAGCAACAGGUUGAGGCUCGUAGAUGGGUAGAGGGCCAUUAAGAGCAUCAUCCACGUAUCGCGCUUCCUUUACCAUCAUACGCCCGCUCACGAAUUUUCCGAGUAUCUCCUCGGGUGUCAUUUUGGUGUACCUGGGAUUUUCACGAAUAAGGUUUACAAGAUGGGGGUCAAUUACCGUGAAUGACCUUAGCAUAAGUCAGACGACGUCGUGGUCCGUCCAUCUUGUGCUUCCAUAGCUUCUAAUCUUGUUGAUGAGGGUCUUGAGCCUGUUGUAGGUUUGCAUUGUCUCCUCUCCCCUGAUCAUCGCAAAUCUCCCCAGUUCGCCUUCCACCAACUCCAUUUUGGUGAUCAUGGUGGCGUCGCUUCCCUCAUGCGAUAUCUUGAGGGUGUCCCAUAUUUGCUUGGCGUUGUCCAAGCCACUCACCUUGUUGUAUUCAUCCCUGCACAAGGAUGCUAGCAAAACAGUAGUAGCCUGUGCAUUCUUAUGAAUUUGCUCAUUUGUAAAAACGGGAUUGUCAGUACUAUCAAAAUGCAUUCCGUUUUCAACAAUCUCCCAAAUACUAGGAUGGAGAGAAAAUAAGUGACUACGCAUCUUGUGACUCCAAAAAGAGUAGUCUUCUCCAUCAAAAUGUGGAGGUUUCCCAAGUGGAAUUGAUAGCAAAUGAGCAUUAGAAUUAAAUGGAAUACGAGAAUAAUCAAAUGAAUAGUUUUGAUUCACCGGUUUCUUCUUUGAAGAGGAGUCAUAGUCGUCGUCGUGUGGUGAAGAAGACGAGGCAUCACUAUCGUAGUAGAUGAUCUUCUUGAUGCGCCUCUUCUUCUUUCCGUCCUUCUUCUUGUGACUCGAGCCAGAGUCAGUGGGCUUGUCGUCUCUUGGCUCGUUGAAGAGGGACUCCUCCUUGUCGUUGACCAGCAUCCCCUUUCCCUUAGGAUCCAUCUCUUCGAGUGGUUAGUCCCUUAAGUGAAGAGAAUGGCUCCGAUACCAACUGAGAGCACCUAGAGGGGGGUGAAUAGGUGAUCCUGUAAAAUUCAACACUAAAUUCCAACAACCUUGAUUAUAAAGAUAUUAGUGCGGGUUAAUCAAGUCAAUGAGACGAGCUCUUGCGAACACAUACAAUCAAAGAGAGAGCAAUCACAAGAGACACGCGAUUUUAUCCCGUGGUUCGGCCAAGUAACACUUGCCUACUUCCACGUUGUGGCGUCCCAAUGGACGAGGGUUGCACUCAACCCCUUUCAAGUGAUCCAAUGAUCAACUUGAAUACCACGGCUUUUCUUCCUUAUAUCCUUUUCCCGUUUGCGAGGAAUCUCCACAAGUUGGAGCCUGCACAAGAGUAAGGUUGGGAAGAGCAACGCACACAAGACACAAAUCGCAGCACACCCACGCACACAAGAGAGGACUUGAGCUCAAAUGACAACACAGGGAGUCCUCGACUCGAAUAGAGCUCAAAUCACUAACACAAUGAAACGAAUGCGCGGGAACAAAGUCUGGAUGCCUUAGGAUGCUUAGUGAAUGCUUUUGUAACUCCUCCAUGCGCCUAGGGGUCCCUUUUAUAGCCCCAAGGCAGCUAGGAGCCGUUGAAGAUCAACAAGGAAGGCUAUCCUUGCCUUCUGUCGAGUGGCGCACCGGACAGUCCGGUGCGCCAUCGGACAGUUACUGUAGAUGGUCCGGUGCCCAUCUCCUUCCUUUUCUAGCGCAGACGACCGUUGCAGCUCCGGGCGGAUUGGCGCACCGGACACUGUCUGGUGCACACCGGACAGUUCGGUGCCCCCUGCCAACCGUUGGCGCGGGCCACGCGUCGCCCGCGGAUUGCGCGGCCGACCGUUGCGCUGGCGACCGUUGGCUCACCGGACAGUCCGGUGCACCACCGGACAGUCCGGUGAAUUAUAGUCGUACGCCGCCAAACUUUUCUCGAGAGCGGCCUGUUCACCGGAAACCAGCCUGGCGCACCGGACACUGUCUGGUGCACCAUCGGACACUCCGGUGUGCCAGACUGAGUUGAGCUUCAACUGCACACAACCAGUCUUUUGCAAUCCUUUUAUUUUCUUCUUUUCUCUUUUUCUAACACUUAGAUAACUUCAUUAGUAUUCAAAAACAAAUGUACUAAGUCUAGAAACAUACCUCAUGUCUUGAUUUGCACUUUUUCAAACUUUGGCACAUUUAGAACUUAGAGAAUAUGUGUUGGGCACUUAAUCACCAAAACAUUAUAGAAAUGGCCCAAAGGCACAUUUCCCUUUCAGUGGUGGAUUGAAGUGCGGGGACCGUUGGAUGGCGUUUGAUCGGUCCUGAUUAGAAGUCGAUACCCCUUCGAGUUUGUUUAAAUCACGGCCAUGCAUUCCGGAUCGGGUGGCCGAUAUUAGAGUACAACGUUGACGUAUCUCGAGCUGUCAAUCCUGGAUCUAAUGGUGAAGAUUGCAUACCGAUUCAUUAUUAAUUCAAUCUAAUCUAUGUCGUUCAGCGGGGAUCCAACGGCCAGAAUCGUCAGAUACCCCUUCGGCCAACACCAUUUGCAAAUUAACCCCUCGGAUUUUAAUGAAAUAACCCGCUGUCCACUCAAGACUUAGCCUGAGUCUUAGGAAAACUUGCGCGCCAGCCCCUGCACUUUCUGGUAUUUGGUGCGCAGUCCUGAGGACAGUGAAAACUAGGAAAUUGAUUAUGGAAAUUGAUUUUUAAUACAAAAAUAAUUACAGAAACUUGUAAAAUUCAUAUAAAAUUCAUUCUAACUCCUUUUUAGCCCAUUCCAGUUCCUGUAAUUUUGUAAUGAUAUUGUUCAUCACAUAGUGUCUCUGGUUUGACAAGAAAACUGUAUUAAAAUUAAUCUUGUAUCAAAUACAUAAAACCUUCAGAAAUUCAUAACGUCCCCAUUUUAACUCCGAAUUGACCUGUUCUAGUUGCGUUAGCUUCGUAAUAAAAUUAUCUACACUUUGGUAACCUUAGUUUAUUAUGAGAUAUGUUGUAAAUAAUUAAUUUGUUUAUCCUAUGUUAAUUGGAUUAAUCUAUGUCUAUUGGAUUAACUUCUUUAAUUUUAAUAUAGUAUUCUAAUCUUAUGGUUAUAAUGUGACUAGAUGAUCUUUAAUCAAAUAAUGACUUAGAUUAAAGUUGAGAUAAUUAUUUAUAGAAUAACCUCUCAUAUGAUUUAUACUAACCAAUUUAUAAUAUAGUUUAAUAUAUUAAAUCACAUAGAUCUCCCAUAAGUCAUAACUCCUUAACCGUAACUCUGAAUCUAACGAUUCUCAAACCCGUGAUCUCAUAGCGACGCGUAGAUUAUUAUUAUUAUGCAGUUUAUUCUUAUGUUUGGUGUGAUGUUAAUUUUGUUUAUACCAUGUCUGUUUGUAUUGCUAUGACUAGCAGUGAGGUCACGAGAAUCUGAGGAUUAUCCUGGUACCUAGUACCUGGAAUCUCAAGUCCCAGGCAAGUUGUGCCCUUGACCACAUUUAUUACCGAAUAAUGUUCUUUAAUAUCACUUAUUCAUGCAUCGGUUUAAUUUUGAUGGGUCCCAAUAGGUCACCCUAGUCUGAUUAUCUUUUACCUUGUUUACCCCUGAAUCAUUUGGGUAGUUUGCUAUUGCUUUAUAUGGUUUUGGGUUAGUAUUUCAUUAUAUCCAUGUUCCAAUUAUUCUGUUAUUUUAUUUAUGUUCAUGUCAAGAUAAUUAUCUUUAAUUGGAACAUGGAGUUUAACUUGAGAAACACGUGCCACCACAAGGGUGGAAUGGACGCCCUUGGCUGACUAAUUAGCAAAGCUAGUGGAAGACUACCUUACCCGAAAGGGGAAAGGGCACUAGGGGAGUAGGCAUGCAGGGAGGUUCUCGGGUUGAUUUUGCUGCGAUGGUGGUCAGACAAGGGAUUUCUGUAAUUGCACUUCCUAGAAACUGUAGCGCGUUUUCGGAAGCUAGUGGAACUUUGUAAAGGCCUCGUAGUGUUACCCUGCCUCGCUUCCUUGGUUGAGGUAUAUGGGACUCAUGACCCCUUGGCAGAUGGGUAACAUGACUUAUGGGUACAGGGUACAACCUCUGUAGAGUGUAAAACUGGUAUACUAGCCGAGCUCACGGUCAUGAGCAGCUCAGGACUCUCGCAUGAUUAAAUUAUAAAACUAAAUUCAAUUUGUCAUUUGCAUUGCAUGGGAUUAUUUAUUAAUUUUGUUCUAUUCUUAUUAUGGUUUGGUAUUUACUUUCAUUUAGUAACUACUAAUAAAGUUUGACCAACUUAUUAAAAGCAAUGCUCAACUUUAACCCCUAUUGUUGAUCAGCCUUACACAUCACAUGAACUCCCACCUUUGGUGAGUUCAUGCACAUUAUUCACCACAACUUGUUGAGAGAUGAACAUGUGUGAGCUCACCCUUGCUGUCUCACACCCCCCACAGGUGAAGUACAGGUGGUUCAAGAGGAGCCACACAACGAGGAGUUUGACUUGAUCUAGGUGGCGUCUCCCAGUUGACUUUAUGGCACCAGGGAUGGACUUUAGUUCGUUUUAUAUUUACCUUUUAUUUUGUAAGACUUCCGCUAUAAUAAGUACUCUGAAUAUAUUGUGACAUUUAUCUCUAUACACUCUGUUAUUAUAUGUGUUGUCUUGUUUGGUGCAUAUAUGAGAUGCACCUGGCUUUGUCCCAUAAAUCUGGGUGUGACAACUUGUUCCUCUACCUCUUGUAUAAUUUCCGACCCAAAGAACUGUCUUUCACCAGUUUGAUCCCAAUACAGAGGAGUCCUGCAUUUUCUUCCAUAUAGAGCUUCAAACGGGGACAUCUUCAAACUGGUCUGAUAGCUAUUAUUGUAAGAGAACUCCACAUAUAGUAAGCUCUUAUCCCAGCUACCACCAUGUUUAAGAGCACAAGCUAUUAACAUAUCUUCUAGUACUUGGUUGGUCUUCUCGGUCUGCUCAUUAGUUUGAGGAUGGUAGGCCGACUAAAAUUCAACUGUGUGUCGAACCACUCGUGCAACUUCUGCCAAACCGAGAAGUAAAUUGUGAUCCCCGAUCUGACACGAUCUUCUUAGGCACUCCAUGUAGACAAACUAUCUAAGCCAUAUACAACUCUGCAAGCUUGGCUCCCGUUUAGCAUCACCGAUCUGACCCUUUCAUAUUUCUUGCUAUCCGAGCCAUAUACAACUCAGUUAUCAGAUCUUUGAUCUCCUGAAUUUUAGCAUCACCGAUCUGACCCUUUCGUAUUUGUUGCUCUAAGGUAGGCUCUACCUCUAUGGUAAUUCCUUCAGUAUGAGCAACUAUCCCAGAUUGAGCUUCUCAAAAUAUUCUGCUAACUCAUCGGGUAACUGGGUUACAAUAGCUGCAUGGACAUGCUCCUUCCGACUCAAGGCAUCCGUAACCAGAUUCGCCUUGCCCAGAUAAUAGUGUAUUUCCAAGUCAUAGUCCUUGAUGAGCUCCAACCAUCGGCGUUGCCUAAGGUUGAGAUCCUUCUGAGUGAAGAUGUAUUUUAAGCUCUUGUGAUCGAUGUAGACUCGGCACUUGGUUCCCAUAAUAUAGUGUCUCCAAAUCUUGAGAGCAUGCACGACGGCUGUGAGUUCUAAGUCAUGAGUGGGGUAAUUCAACUCAUGUUUUCGCAACUGGCGAGACACGUAAGCGAUGAUGUGUCCUUCUUGCAUAAGCACACAUCCCAAGCCCUGGCGACUUGCAUCACAAUAUAUAUCAAAAUUCUUCUAUAGAUCUGGCAUAACCAACACUGGAGCAGCCAUCAAUUUAAACCUCAAUUGAUUGAAACUCUCUUGGCAUUCCUAGGUCCAUUUAAACUCCUUGCCCUUCUCUAACAAUGAGGUCAUAGGCUUAGCAAUCUUGGAGAACCCUUCCAUGAAUCGCCGGUAAUAACCUGCGAGUCCUAGGAAACUCCGGACCUCCGAGACCGUACUUGGUAUCUUCCAACCAACUAUCGCUGUCACUUUACCCGGAUCCACUGAAAUUCCUCCUUUGGAGAUGAUAUGCCCGAGGAAAUGUACUUCAUCAAGCCAGAACUCACACUUUGUAAAUUUGGCAUAAAGUUGGUUAUCUCGUAACUUCUGUAGCACCAUUCGCAAAUGUUCCUCAUGAUCACUAUCACUCUUGGAAUAAAUAAGAAUAUCGUCGAUGAAUACCACAACGAAUUUAUUGAGAUACUCCAUGAACACCUUGUUCAUCAGAUCCAUGAAGUAGUCUGGUGCAUUGGUUAAGCCAAACGACAUGACUGUGAAUUCAUAUAGACCAUAUCGGGUAGAGAAAGUUGUCUUAGGAAUAUCAGAUGGCCUAAUCUUCAUUUGAUGGUAGCUCGGUCUGAGGUCAAUCUUGGAAAACACCCUAGCACCUCUCAUCUAAUCAAACAAGUCAUCAAUAUGAGAUAACGGGUACUUGUUCUUAAUGGUAACAUCAUUAAGUGAUCUAUAGUCCACACACAUCCGUUGCGAACCAUCCUUCUUCUGUACAAACAGUACCGGUGCUCCCCAAGGUGAGGAACUCGGACGAAUGUACCCUUCUUCCUACAACUCUGUUAACUGUUUCUUAAGUUCUUUUAACUCUUCCACUGACAUCCUAUAUGGCCUUUUUGAAAUGGGAGUAGUACCAGGUAAGAGAUCAAUAACGAAUUCGACUUCCCUAUAUGGUGGCAUUCUGGGUAGCUCUUCAGGAAAGACGUCUGGAAAGUCUCUAACAAUUCGGAUGUUUCUACCCACAAAUUUUCCAUCUACUAGAAAUAUGGAAGGUCUGGUAGAGGCGGUUAUAGAAAUCUCAACUUCAUAUCUUUCCCCUUUGGAACUGGUGAGGUCUACGGUUCCCUUAGCACAGUGUAUAAUUGCCUUUGCUUUCCUUAACCAAGACAUCACGAAUAUCAGAUCUAUACUGCUUUCUUCUAGUACUAUGGGUGUAGACCAGAAUUCCCUUCCCAUAAUUGUCUGUGUUAAUCUUUGUGUCAUAUAGUUUGCUUCAAUAGGCCCUUUAGGUGUAAUUACUACCAUUGGUGUUUUCAUAUUUUGUAGUGGCAAUUCAUUGGUGGUGGCAAAUUGAGCAGAAAUAAACGAAUGUGUAGCUUCAUAAUCAAAUAACAAUGCUGCUGGAAUUGCAUUAAUAUAAAACAUACCGAUAGCGAUGUCUGCACCGUAAGUAGUGGCCUCAGCACUAACUUGAUUAACCCUGGCAAUGCUGAAUCCCUUGCUAGGAGUCUGUUGCUUGUUCUGAG